UACGUAGGGGGCAAGCGUUGUCCGGAAUCACUGGGCGUAAAGGGCGCGUAGGCGGCCAAUUAAGUCAGUUGUGAAAUACCUCUGCUUAACGGAGGGGGGUCAGUUGAAACUGAUUGGCUGGAGUGCAGGAGAGGAAAGUGGAAUUCCCGGUGUAGCGGUGGAAUGCGUAGAGAUCGGGAGGAACACCAGUGGCGAAGGCGACUUUCUGGACUGUAACUGACGCUGAGGCGCGAAAGCGUGGGGAGCAAACAGGAUUAGAUACCCUGGUAGUCCACGCCGUAAACGAUGGAUGCUAGGUGUAGGGGGUAUCGACCCCCCCUGUGCCGUAGUGAACGCAAUAAGCAUCCCGCCUGGGGAGUACGGCCGCAAGGUUGAA
Molecule: ribosomal RNA, 376 nt
Filed under: uncultured bacterium
Lineage: Bacteria
Description: bacterial SSU rRNA
Rfam family: Bacterial small subunit ribosomal RNA
Source: RNAcentral